AACGGCCAUACCAUGCUGAAUAUAUCGGUUCUCGUUAGAUCACCGAAGUCAAGCAUCAUUGGGCGCGGUCAGUACUUGGAUGGGUGACCACCUGGGAACACCGCGUGCCGUU
Molecule: ribosomal RNA, 112 nt
Filed under: Caerostris darwini
Lineage: Eukaryota; Metazoa; Arthropoda; Arachnida; Araneae; Araneidae
Source: RNAcentral